CAAUAAUACCAAUAAUACCAAUAAUAUCAAUAAUAACUAUGAUAACAAUAAUAUCAAUAAUAACUAUGAUAACAAUGAUAAGAAUGACAAGAAUGAUAUAAAAUAUGUAAAGAAUAGAACACAAAGAAUUAGAUCAAAUAACAAUCCAUUAUUUUCUAUAAAUAACAAUAAAAACAUAUUAAGUAAUGAAUCUAAUGAAAAUGUGAUUAAUAAUAAAAAAAAUUUUAACAACACUAAAGUGAAUAAUAAAAAAUUAAUUCAUAAAAAUAACAUAUCUGAUAUUGUUAAUGAAGAAAUUGGAUAUACCCCUAAAUUAAAUUUAACUAAUAAUGUCAUAGUAAAUGAUAUAAACAGAGUAAAUACAACUAUUAUUGAUAAUUCUUCAAGUAAUAAUAAAGCCACAUAUUACAGUACCAAUUACAAAUAUAUUCCGAAUAGUACAGUAGUAAAUAAUAGCUAUUUAUCAACUAAAUUUAUUAAUAAUACAAAAAACUGUAACGAUAAGAAAAGCUUUGAUAAAAUGAAAAAAGUAGUAAAAUCAGAUAUAAUAUACCCUGUAGCGAAAAAUAAUAUGAACUUAAACGAACAUACUUAUAACAAAAAUGAAAUCUCCACUACAUCACCCUUUGCAAAAAUCGUUUCUCUUUUCAAACCGACAACUACAAAAGAAAAAAAAUAAGAAUAAUGUAAUAGUAUCACAUAUAAACAAUACUAAUAGUGUAUAUGAAAGAAGUCUAAACAAACAAUUUAAUGCCAAUGAUUAUUUAAAUGAAGAAAAAAAACAAAAGCAGAAAGAAAGUACAAUAUCUGGUAAUACUAACUAUAUUAAUAAUUAUAGUGAUAAAGAUAACAAUAGCGAAAAUAAAAUAAAUGAUGAAAUGAAAGAAAAUAAUUAUAAUAAAAUAAAAAUGUGUCGUACACAUAAUAGAUCAAGAUCUGCAGAUGUUUAUCAUCAUCAUAAUAAUAAUAAUAAUAAUAGUACUAGUAAUAGUUCUAGUAAUAAUAGUACUAGUAAUAGUACUAGUAAUAAUAACAUAAAUGUCGUUGAUAAUAUCAUAAGGAUUAGUGACAACAUGAACACUUGUAACAAUGCAAAUUAUAAAACAGAUAACUUCAAAAAUUCUUCGUAUAGUAAAAAAUAAAAUGUGUAGAUUCUUUUAAAUAUGAAAAUAAUAAAGUAAAUUAUAAUAAAAACCA
RNAcentral lists this long non-coding RNA (1197 nucleotides) under Piliocolobus tephrosceles (Ugandan red Colobus). RNAcentral's name for it is "lncRNA (ENSPTEG00000025362.1)". Lineage: Eukaryota; Metazoa; Chordata; Mammalia; Primates; Cercopithecidae. The record is from RNAcentral.